This is a long non-coding RNA of Passer domesticus (house sparrow), 3404 nucleotides long. RefSeq lists it as uncharacterized. The transcript is spliced from 4 exons. Lineage: Eukaryota; Metazoa; Chordata; Aves; Passeriformes; Passeridae. The record is from RefSeq and is a predicted model, not a curated record.
CAAUGCCACAAUGUCACAGAGGAAUAUAUUCCAGGAGAAUUCUCUGGUGUUCUAUGGACUGCUCCACAGAACUCAAAGGAAGACCACUAACCUGGGCAGGAUUAAAUAAUGAUGUGGCUUUCUAGAAAAGGCUGCAGGAGGAGAAGAAGCAAAGGGAGAACAAGAAGAAAAGAAAUUGCAGAGCCCUGUGCUCAAGGGACCAUAUUUCAAGAAAAUCUGUUCUUGCCCCUUCAUGAAGAAAAUUUUCAUCAUGAAUCACAAUCCCAGUUAUUUCUCAACCAAUGCUAUUAUGAUAUGACUUUCACUAAUGUGGAUAGAACAAUAAUGGACAAGGGAAUCUAACCUACUGACUUUCUGAAGCAGACCAAAAGCUAUGGAUGUUCUUGCAUAAGCUACAAUUGUUUAGGAAACUUGCUGGCUGCUCUUCCUUUUAAAUAAGCAGAUGUCAUGGCUGUUCUUGGGGUUUAAGUGCCUCACUUUGUCUGUAAAGCAGGAGGAAAUUAUCUUGACCAGAGAUGAUGAACAAGGACAGCACACAGUAAUGCACCCUGGACUAAAGAGCUUUAGCAUGAAACGUGAACUGCAGCUGUGGAGAAAGUAAGCAACAAUGACCAAAAAAACAAGAAAGAAGAAAAAGACAAAGUACAAGAGAUGACAAGACAGGAUAGAAGACAGGCAUACUGACCCUUCUCCUUGGCUUUCUCACACAGAAGAGACAAAAACAAAAGACAGAACUGCACACUAACAAUUAUGGAGACUGUGACCAUCAUGCACCAAUCUUAGUGUUUAAUGUAAGUAAGAGGAGGAAAUGGACAACAAAAGGGAACAGUAAGAAAUAUUAAAAGAGGAAAUAAGAAGAUGGCAGAAGACAGGGAAAAGGAGAAAUAUGCAUUUGUAUGUUUCGUAUGUCUUUCAUACUAAUGUCCCGCAUAUGUGCCAACAGAUUUGCUAAAGCCAUCACACCCAUAGGGGCAACGGCUGGAAAUACUGAUGCUGAUUACAGUACGGCUAACACAUUGUGUAACAAAAGGCAAUUAAUUUUUCAUUUGCUUGUGGGUUUUUUUAAAAUUCUAUAAACCUGAAACAGGGAGUUACUUCCCCAAUGUCCAACUGUGGUGUCAUAGACAGACCAACACAUGCUAAAACACUCUUCUGUGAUGAAAUACAAAGUACAGAUCUGCAUUUAUAGAACUACAGGUCUCGUUAAUAUUAAUUUUACAGUACUUUAUACUGAAGUUAAACACUACUCAUUACUGGCACUGAUCUUUUGAAAAUGGAUUGAUAAAAAGAUAUUUAGCUUGUUUACUUUGCUUUAUUUAAGAGCUUCAACAAAGGGACUUUAGCAUUUGUAAAUUUUGAUUUUUUGGUACCAAAUUCUAAUGCAAAAAUACAGUCUAGAAGAUUAAAAUAAUAAAAUGUUAGCAUGCAAAGGACACAUUAGACUUGAAUCCUAGUUUUUCAAACAAGAGAAAUUGUAUUUUAUUAGGCACAUGGGUGCCUAAUCACUGGGAGUGACUUUUACCUACCUAUCUCUAGGCAUGCAGAUAUAGCUUGCAUUGGCAGACAUUUUUACUUUGGAGGACACAAAAAGUUAGAAAGCACCUGAGGUGUUCCUCUGUUUCCACUUACUACCAUCUCUCUAGUACACACCAUGUUUCAAGAUUCCGGUAGGACAGUGAACCAGUGAUUAGCACCGAUUUGAACUUAUCAAAGUUGACUGACUGCACCUCCCCAGCACAUACUUUUAAAGGACAAAGUAUGACAUAGAGCACAUGUACUUUUUUAAAAUUUCAAGGCACCAGACACACAUGAAUUACUUUAUUCUCAGCAUGAUUAAUGAGAGGAGUAUCCCUUUGCAAAGCAAAGUACAUGGAAGAACAUGGCAGUGAUAUGUCCCACAACAAAUCUUUUUCUAAGCACGGGGACAGAUUCAAAGGGGUCUUCUUUUCAGUUCUUUUCAGUCCUGUUAUGCCCUGGUCUGCUCAAUGGAUUUAGGGAAAGGUUGGUUGAGUCAUUUAGAGCAGUGUUCAGGAGCAACACCAAAAAUCUUCAAUAACAAAUCUUUACAUGCAAAUUUCCAGAACAUUAAGGUAGAAUUAGGUACUUGGCAAAUUUUAAAGCAAAAUCCAGACAAACUAAGGCACUUCAGAAACUUUAGUUUAGCCACCUUUAACUUAACCAGAUACAGGACAUUAACUAAGGCCUUGACUGGAAUUUUUUUGUCUGGUUUACAAUAUAUUUCCAGAAGUUAGACAAAGAAAUACAGAAAGAAAGGAUAAGAAUAGAAAAAUAUCACCACCCAUGGACCUAUGAAAAGACUAGCAAUUUUGAUGUCCACAUUAAAGUGAUAGCCACAACCUUGAUCCAUAAGGAAAAUCUCAUGAAGGACAAAGUUAAAUGUAUUAUCAUAUGCUCAGGUUCAGGUGGGAAUGCCCAGGUAUCUCCAAGAGGGGAGCAGAAAUUAACACUCUCUGAACACUGUGGAUCACUUGCAGUUCUCUCCGGUGGAAGGCCUUAGAAACUGGUCUGGGGCCUGGGUGGUUUAUGUCACCUUCUAAGAUAUGACAGCUGCCUUUCAAGUCAGCGUAGUUGAGCUAGUUAUACCCCACCAGCAAGGAUGAACACCUUCAGGCUAAGUCUGAAUGUCUGACACCUUCCUCACAGAAGGGAGUUUUCUGAGCCAGCUGAGUAAGGGAAGACAUGAUAAAACACUUAUAGGCCUCUUCCCUUAUCUGGCUCAAACCCCAGUUUCUUGAUAAACAUGGGCUGAUUUGUGGUCAUCCUCUGGAGCUCACUCUCUCUCUACCUGAUCUUCCACAUCAUCAGCAAAGCACACCCUGCUUUUGCAAAUUUCUGUAUUUCAGUAAUAUUUCAGUCUCACAAAACCCAAACUUUAGCUGUAAGACUGUCUUCUCCCUUCUUAUGGAAUUUGAAUUAAACAUUCGCAAAACAAAUACCUGACAAGCAAAAAGCAUAACUUAUACAUACUAAACAGAUACAAAUACUCUUCGCAUACAAACCCAAGUCACAACUUGCCAAACCCUCCCUUCAGCAAUGCACCAUAGUAAAGGAGUCAAACUAACUACUCUCUCUAACUAGCAACAUAAAACUCAUGUCUGGUUGGGCCGACCCCACAUAUUUUAAUUUAUUUUGAAUAACUUACCUGUAAACUUCUCCAGCGUUUCUGAGGAAGGGAAACAUGCAACUUAUAAUUCUAAGAGGAUCCUUUCCCCUGCUAAGCGCAUAAAAGCAAUGAAAUAGAGAACAGUAAAGACAGCUUAAAAACGCAGCUUCUGACAGAUACUGAAGAGAGAUACCUACACUGCUUCAUAAUGCUAAGUAAUAAAAAGACCUCACGAAACCAAAAUACCAUUUUCUAAAAAGACUGAAAGAUUUUUGUUUUC